AGAGUUUGAUCCUGGCUCAGAUUGAACGCUGGCGGAAUGCUUUACACAUACAAGUCGAGCGGCAGCGCGGGGGCAACCCUGGCGGCGAGCGGCGAACGGGUGAGUAACACAUCGGAACGUACCCAGUUGUGGGGGAUAGCCCGGCGAAAGCCGGAUUAAUACCGCAUACGACCUGAGGGUGAAAGGGGGGGAUCGCAAGACCUCUCGCAGUUGGAGCGGCCGAUGGCGGAUUAGCUAGUUGGUGGGGUAAAGGCCUACCAAGGCGACGAUCCAUAGCUGGUCUGAGAGGACGACCAGCCACACUGGAACUGAGACACGGUCCAAACUCCUACGGGAGGCAGCAGUGGGGAAUAUUGCACAAUGGGCGAAAGCCUGAUGCAGCAACGCCGCGUGAGCGAUGAAGGCCUUAG
Molecule: ribosomal RNA, 410 nt
Filed under: uncultured bacterium
Lineage: Bacteria
Description: bacterial SSU rRNA
Rfam family: Bacterial small subunit ribosomal RNA
Source: RNAcentral